AGAUGAUGCAGCAGUGCUGCUGACGAUGACGGGGACAACAACAGCUACUAUUUAUUGAAUAAUUAGCAAGUUCUUUACUAUCUUUUUCAUGGAAUUUUAACAAUCUAUUUAUUACAGUAAAUGACAUUACAGAUAAAUUAAGGGAACACUCGGUAAAGGAAAAAAUGGAUCCAUGCUAUCAACACUCUGGGCUGAACUGGUUUUCAAUUACUCGAGGUUCUUUUCUCUUCCUCAAAUUGGGAAUUGCCAUUUUGGGGUAGCUGAGAUCACAGUCAUGUAUAAGACACGGAAGAUGUGGACACAGAGACAGAGACGCAGAGGGAAGACAACAUGAAGACACACAAGGAGACAGCCCUGUGGCUGGAGCGAUGUCCCUGUGAACCAAGGAAGGCCCAAGAUUGCUGGCAAGACCAGAGGAGGGAAGAAAGGAUUCUCCCCUCGGGCUGUUGUAGAGAAAACAGCCCUGUGGACAAGUUCAUCUUCUAGUCCCCGCAGCUGUAAGAGAAAGAAUUUCUGGUGUUUUCAGCCACUCAGCUGUGGGUGCUUUGUUUGGGCAGCCAAGGAGAGACUGCUGGCUGGAGUUUUCAGAUAAGAUUUCACUUGAAGAAAAUACCCCAAGAAAGCCUAAAAAGUGACUGAAAACCACUGGUGUUGAGGCCAAGCAAGAACAAGGAAAUUCACCCAGGAAGCAAGUGAACUCUCUCACCAGCUGCACCACCAGCACCCAUCCGAUCAGAACACUCCCGAAGGAGGGGAAGGAGUACUGGUUUCCAGAGAGGAUGGACGUUUAAAGAGGGUGCCUGACAGCAGCUGAAGUGUUUGCAGCCAACCUGUGGGAACCUGUUAGGGAUGGAGCCAGAAGAAUGAAGAUUUGGACCACACUCUCUUCCUGCCCUUUUAUCCCUUCAGGGGCUCCCAAAGGCCAAACCCAACCAGAAGUCAGAGGUCAAAGGAAUCUAUUGAUAU
This is a long non-coding RNA of Lutra lutra (Eurasian river otter), 966 nucleotides long. RefSeq lists it as uncharacterized. Lineage: Eukaryota; Metazoa; Chordata; Mammalia; Carnivora; Mustelidae. The record is from RefSeq and is a predicted model, not a curated record. The transcript has 5 exons.